RNAcentral lists this transfer RNA (100 nucleotides) under Streptomyces sp. TUS-ST3. RNAcentral describes it as "tRNA-Val". Lineage: Bacteria; Bacillati; Actinomycetota; Actinomycetes; Kitasatosporales; Streptomycetaceae. The record is from RNAcentral.
UGUGGCGUUAUCUGGCGGGGCUGGUGCGCGGGCGCUGACGGCGCUCGGACAGCGCAACGGGCCACGAACCAGGACGGGUUCGUGGCCCGCGCGGCACGGC